GUUUAAGUCCUGGCGAAAAUAUAAUAUUGUCAGCAAAAAGCCUAAAAAAUCAAUUGAGCCGGUGUUGGAAUCCGAGGAAUUACUUUUCGUUCAACCAGAGAGAGAGGUCCGCGAGAGACGACAUUCAGAAAGACGUCGCUCGAGCGUCGCACCUAAACAUAUGUUUGAAGAGUUACCCACAUUCCACAUGAAAUCGGGGCGAGAAUAUGUCACAAAGAUGCCAAUGCAACCAUUAGCCCAGGUUUUCCGGUAUUUAAACAUAGUGGACCUGGCUAGGUGUGCUCAGGUUUGCCAAACCUGGAAG
RNAcentral lists this long non-coding RNA (304 nucleotides) under Laticauda laticaudata (blue-ringed sea krait). RNAcentral's name for it is "lncRNA (ENSLLTG00000015898.1)". Lineage: Eukaryota; Metazoa; Chordata; Lepidosauria; Squamata; Elapidae. The record is from RNAcentral.